Molecule: long non-coding RNA, 1616 nt
Organism: Harpia harpyja (harpy eagle)
Lineage: Eukaryota; Metazoa; Chordata; Aves; Accipitriformes; Accipitridae
Exons: 3
Source: RefSeq, a predicted model, not a curated record
AAAUGAUUCCUGUCACGUAGCCAAAGGGGGCAUAUUUACAUGGCUCCACAUGAUGUGACGAGGAAAUCCUGUUGCGGAGAAUUCAGGAGGAAAACAAGUAGGUUGCCUGUUCUGCCCCUCUUUUUUGGAAGUCCUGCCUCUGCUCCUGUACAGGUUUGCUUCCUGAAUUGCCACUUCUGUGAAUUUAUCAGUACAGAUGUCUUUGUUUCUCAAUUUUCUUUCUCCAUUUUUGAACAUGGAGGUUUCCAGGACAUUAUUCUCCUUCCUAGUAUCUUGCCAUAUAUUGAUUGUGUCGUUGUCUGCUACGGAUUUUUGCUUUGCAGAUUUUGCUUGUAGUACUCCUAUUUUUUUGUUCCUCCACUGAUCAUCUCUAAGCUCUGCACCAAAGUAAGGAAACACUGUACGGGGGGGGCAGAGAGAGCCAGGAUCUAAAUGGGGAGCAGGAUGAAGCUCCAACACCUCCCUUUACUCUGUAGUGGGAGACACGUGAUGGGCACCACUGGGAAUAGUGUGUGUGCAUAUGGGAGACGGUCUGGAGCCUCCCUGGUAAAUCCAUUUCUGAAUCACCGCUCACGUGGCACAGGCAACGAGUACUGCACCUUGUUUUUCCUGCUACAGCGGCUGAGGUGAAGAAGAUGUCCUCCACGCUGCAGAGAGGAGCAUCCCUGCAGGCUCCGUGCCCCAGGCCGGUGCAGAAGUCACGCCAGCUGCUUUUGACAAAAGAGUUGCUGAGCAACUCUAAAAUAGCCUGAAGUGGGUCAUUUAACAAGAAAAUAGAGCAAACCCUCUGAAGAAACCUCCCUCAGCUGCAGGGACAGCCAUGCUCCUCCGCUCCAGCCCACCCAGUCAGCCCCCAGCAGGCUCCCGCAACCCCUAUAUUAUAUUGUCUAUAUAUCUUCUAUAUGUCCUUGCUCUCCAGAACAAGACUGACUGCCUGAGAGGACUCCCUCACUCCCAGGAAUGCCAGUGUAAUGGUCGUGCUCAGAAGAGGACUUCACCAUGACUAGGAUCCUUGCCAAAGGCCAGCAGAGGAAGAGGAGGGUGGUGAGGAUGGGGACAGAGCAUUUGAUAGUAGGUGGCACUUACCACUGGCGGCAGUGGCGUGGGGCAGCGUGGUAGGUACAUGUCCUGGUUUUGGCUGGGAUAGAGUGAAUUUUCUUCCUAGUAGCUGGUAUGGGGCUGUGUUUUGGAUUUAGGUGGAGAAUACCAGGACUGUACAACACAGUAUUUUGUAUCUGGCUAAAAACCAUGGAUGUUAGGCUUGUCCCUACAUGAGUAUUCAUGCAUCUGGGCUAUGAGCAGGGCUGGUGUCUGUUUAAGGUGGCCAGCUGGCUAGAAUAAGCUCUGAUGACUUUUACUUUCUUUAGGAAUGGGGAUGGGAAGGAAAGGAAAACAAGGAGCUGCCCGGGAACAAGAUUAGAGUCAGACUCACACGCUUGUGGGAUGCCAGCCAGUGAGGUACGUUGUUACUGUCUAGAGCUUUUCCAGCUCCCCUGAAACCGGCUGCCAGGGAGAUUUUGUCAGCUGAUAAUCACCAGGAAUGGAGAAGAGCUCCGGAUGGAGAAGGGAGGGGAGACGCUGUACGUGCGAGGCAAGAAGCUGGGGGGAGUCCAGCC